GAAAGGCCAGUGUGUUGAUUCAGUCCCAUUUAUUUCAGGCAGGGCACCCGAAGGCCACUUGCUGUCAGAGCUGGUUGGAGUGGGGAUUUCACAUUAAAGGAGGUCAAGGUGGUACUUGAGGAAAAGAGUGUGUGGCAUGUUUGAAGGUGGCUGAGGAUUUGAUAAACUCCUUCACAGAGCUCCAAAAUAAAGGGAAUCAAAGUGGAGAAACCAGGACUAAAAACCUAUUGAAUUUCACAUGAAGUGACUGAAUCACUGUGCAUAUGGAGCCAGCAAGGUAUGAGAGUACUAGUUGCUCUGUAUCCUCAACCAAUGCUUGGAACUGUCUUUUUAGACAUUGUUUUUCUAGUGAGUGUGUAGUGGUAUUGCAUUGUGGCUGG
Zalophus californianus (California sea lion) is the source of this 380-nucleotide long non-coding RNA. RefSeq lists it as uncharacterized. The record is from RefSeq and is a predicted model, not a curated record. Lineage: Eukaryota; Metazoa; Chordata; Mammalia; Carnivora; Otariidae. The transcript has 3 exons.